Molecule: long non-coding RNA, 664 nt
Organism: Sander lucioperca (pikeperch)
Lineage: Eukaryota; Metazoa; Chordata; Actinopteri; Perciformes; Percidae
Exons: 3
Source: RefSeq, a predicted model, not a curated record
CACUCUCCUCUACUAAUCUAGGCUAUAUGCUAGCGCCAUAUGCUACAUGCUUAAUUUAUGUUACUCACCCUCGUAGUUGUGGACCUAACUUGAUAUGUCCCACUUCAAAGCUUUCUCCCGUUUCAUGAUGGGUGCAGGUGAAAGUGCGUCGACCAUUCUGUGCACAUUAUUGACAUAUACUAAUAAUAAAGCAAUCGACGGAGGGAGUAAAUAAACUCAGUAUAUAUAUCUAUGUCGGUUACAGAGCAGCCGCCCGCAACAGACGUUCAACGUAAAGCGAACGCACCCUCAACGGGGCAGGGAUCAUUUCAUUGGUCAACACUACAGCUGGCAUUCUAUUGGUUGGGGGAUUUUGAGAGGAUUGUAACACAAAAAAUCAGAGCGCGCAGGAGAAAUCCGUGAGGAGAUUUGCAAGCGUGCAGACUCAACCUGAGUGUGAGGAGAAGGGCCAAAGCUGAGAGCAGGAAAUAUGUCCAAACAACAACAUAUCUGAGUCCAAGCAGAAAGUUUGAGCACAAGCAGAGCAAAUCCAAGCGCGAGCAGUGACUAUUUGAGUGUGAGAGCAAGGUUUUGAGGGAAAUUAUUACAAAAUCUGAACGUAAUAUCAGUGAGAAAUGCUCUCAAAUUGAAAGAAUGCACUCUUGAAUAAAGAUAGGAAUAUAAC